Molecule: ribosomal RNA, 981 nt
Filed under: human gut metagenome
Description: bacterial SSU rRNA
Rfam family: Bacterial small subunit ribosomal RNA
Source: RNAcentral
CGGAGGAUUCAAGCGUUAUCCGGAUUUAUUGGGUUUAAAGGGUGCGUAGGCGGUUUGAUAAGUUAGAGGUGAAAUUUCGGGGCUCAACCCUGAACGUGCCUCUAAUACUGUUGAGCUAGAGAGUAGUUGCGGUAGGCGGAAUGUAUGGUGUAGCGGUGAAAUGCUUAGAGAUCAUACAGAACACCGAUUGCGAAGGCAGCUUACCAAACUAUAUCUGACGUUGAGGCACGAAAGCGUGGGGAGCAAACAGGAUUAGAUACCCUGGUAGUCCACGCAGUAAACGAUGAUAACUCGUUGUCGGCGAUACACAGUCGGUGACUAAGCGAAAGCGAUAAGUUAUCCACCUGGGGAGUACGUUCGCAAGAAUGAAACUCAAAGGAAUUGACGGGGGCCCGCACAAGCGGAGGAACAUGUGGUUUAAUUCGAUGAUACGCGAGGAACCUUACCCGGGCUUGAAAGUUAGCGACGAUUCUUGAAAGAGGAUUUCCCUUCGGGGCGCGAAACUAGGUGCUGCAUGGUUGUCGUCAGCUCGUGCCGUGAGGUGUCGGGUUAAGUCCCAUAACGAGCGCAACCCCUACCGUUAGUUGCCAUCAGGUGAAGCUGGGCACUCUGGCGGGACUGCCGGUGUAAGCCGAGAGGAAGGUGGGGAUGACGUCAAAUCAGCACGGCCCUUACGUCCGGGGCUACACACGUGUUACAAUGGUAGGUACAGAGGGCAGCUACCCAGCGAUGGGAUGCGAAUCUCGAAAGCCUAUCUCAGUUCGGAUUGGAGGCUGAAACCCGCCUCCAUGAAGUUGGAUUCGCUAGUAAUCGCGCAUCAGCCAUGGCGCGGUGAAUACGUUCCCGGGCCUUGUACACACCGCCCGUCAAGCCAUGGGAGCCGGGGGUGCCUGAAGUUCGUGACCGCAAGGAGCGACCUAGGGCAAAACUGGUGACUGGGGCUAAGUCGUAACAAGGUAGCCGUACCGGAAGGUGCGGCUG